Octodon degus (degu) is the source of this 195-nucleotide long non-coding RNA. RefSeq lists it as uncharacterized. The record is from RefSeq and is a predicted model, not a curated record. The transcript is spliced from 3 exons. NCBI's taxonomy places the organism in Eukaryota, Metazoa, Chordata, Mammalia, Rodentia, Octodontidae.
UUCGGCAGCCCAGAGGAAGUUUGCUCAUUCGCUCAGAGACUUCAAAUUUGAGUUCAUCGGGGAUGCCGAGACAGAUGACGAGCGCUGCAUAGAUGCCUCCUUACGUGAAUUUUCAAAUUUUCUGAAGAAUCUAGAGGAACAGAGAGAAAUUAUGGCAUUAAGUGUAACUGAAACCCUGAUUAAACCGUUGGAAAA